This 331-nucleotide unclassified non-coding RNA is filed under the name soil metagenome. RNAcentral's name for it is "partial contains 5.8S ribosomal RNA, internal transcribed spacer 2, and large subunit ribosomal RNA". The stretch from base 1 to 120 matches the Rfam family "5.8S ribosomal RNA", at positions 35 to 154 of the family's 154-position model. The record is from RNAcentral.
GAUGAAGAACGUAGCGAAAUGCGAUAAGUAAUGUGAAUUGCAGAAUUCAGUGAAUCAUCGAAUCUUUGAACGCACAUUGCGCCCCCUGGUAUUCCGGGGGACAUGCCUGUUCGAGCGUCAUUUCACCACUCAAGCCUCGCUUGGUAUUGGGCAUCGCGGUCCGCCGCGCGCCUCAAAUCGACCGGCUGGGUCUUCUGUCCCCUAAGCGUUGUGGAAACUAUUCGCUAAAGGGUGUUCGGGAGGCUACGCCGUAAAACAACCCCAUUUCUAAGGUUGACCUCGGAUCAGGUAGGGAUACCCGCUGAACUUAAGCAUAUCAAUAAGCGGAGGA